ACACAGUGGACACACAGAUGCAUAAGGACCCAGGACAGGGCAUCUGGACAUGGCUGUCUGCAUGUUUCGUUCUCUCUGUUCCAGUGGUUCUUCCAGAAGUUGGGAGGGAUGAAGACCCCCUUGGGGUCUCCAUUCUUGGGCCCACGGCUUGAAGAAGAAUCCCCUUCUGCUCACUAUGAACAUGGCUUACGACCUCACAGACAGCAAAGAUAAGGAGACCCAGAGACAGGAAAAGGCCGCAGCCCCCAGGAUCCUCUCCACCUUCUCAUCCUCCCUCAGCUGCGCGUGGCAGCCUCAGAAGGAAAGUUCACUCAGGACAUACCUAGGAUGAAAGCAGGACACCCCCACUUCAGCGUUGGAGCGCAUCCUUGGUUCAGCCCGUUCCUCAUUCCUCCCCUUCAUCAUCAUAGCCAACUUCUGAGGAAACUCCAUCAAAAAUGUGAGGGACAGUCUUCUGGAAGGUGUGCAACUGCAGGGAGGGGCUGUGGACACUUACAUACUCCUUUCCAGAGCCUUCUUCUUCUGUUCCUCCUCACUCUCAGGGGCUUGGGACAAAGUCUCCUCUUCAGGUGGCUGGAAGGAAAGAGCAUCCUAGGGUGAGCAAAUGAAUGCCCCUUGAGAGAAAGGAGCCUCCCCAGAGCCUGUCCUCACACCUGCGCCUUAUCUCCAGGGCCCUCCAACAAUGUGGUCAGCAAGGUCAGUUCUGGCAGCUCCUCUCCUGUGGCUAGAGCUGGCUCCAACAUCCAGUUCUGGGGGCCAGAAAUUAAGUGUCAGAGGUCAGGGACAGUAGCUGGAUGGCCCCAACUUGCCCUCUCUGCCAGUGUCCUUCAUGGAUGUCCUACAUGCUUCUGUGGCAUCCCCUGCUCACCUCAUAUGGUCUCGGCUGACCACUGUCUGCCUCAGUUUCCAUACUGAGACAAUGUUUGGAAUGAUCCAACCAUUUCCUCAGGCCACUGACUGGCCCUGGGGGGCCUGGGGAACAGGGGCCAGAGCUGAGGCCAGAGCUGGGGCCAGAGGGGGCAGCCAGUCCGGAGGCAGCAGAAGCCGAUAUACUCCCCUCACUGCCAGCAAUGGAAUAGGAUUCUAAUGGAGGAAAAAGAAAGGAGGUGAUAGACCUUGCCCCAGCUCCCGACUCAGGGUCCCAGCGAACUCUCAGGUCUCCUCUCCAUGAUGCUCAGCCUCUCUCUCCCAAGGCUCACUCUCUUGCCAUCCUCAUUUGAGUUGGCCAGGAUAGAAAUUUUCACCGGGGCACCCUUGGGAGAAAGCACAGUAAGGUAAACACCUGGCUCUCCAGGCCUGGAACCCCCAGUUACAUGUGGAGGUUCCCCAUAUCCUGAGCAUAGCACAGAUAUGAGGGCGGGGGCAGCCAUCUGGGCAGACACUGGAAGCUGGGGGUGGCCAUCUGCUCUCCUACAACCCUCCCCCUUUCAAUGGGUACAGACCAUUCUCUGGGAAGGGGGGAGGAUGAGCUGGGUCCAUCUGCCACUCCCAGUCCCCUCCUCCACAAAUUGCAGUAAUCACUAUAAAAAGAAAAGACUUCUGCAGCCCACCUCCCCAACCCGUGCAUAGACCCAAUAGAGGAGGCCAGUGAGGAGGGUCCAUCAGGGUUAUCUCUGGCCUGGGCUCAGGGACAGAUGAGCUAUAAUUCCUUAUAAAGCCCCUUGUAGAACC
This is a long non-coding RNA of Sapajus apella (tufted capuchin), 1671 nucleotides long. RefSeq lists it as uncharacterized. The transcript is spliced from 2 exons. The record is from RefSeq and is a predicted model, not a curated record. Lineage: Eukaryota; Metazoa; Chordata; Mammalia; Primates; Cebidae.